CCUAGCCAAAUUUGACCUUUAAAUUACUUUUGAUUCAACCGUAGAAAUUCCAAAGUAAUCCGAUAACUGCGUUUGUCAUCUCGAGAGCUUCGAACGGCACCUAUUAUUUGUGCAAACAGGAUUGCAUAAUCAAGAGGUGAAUUCUAAGGUAUGAAUAUUGUUUGCCUUUGUUCUCUUCCAUAUGUAUAUGUGUGAUAGAGGAUUAUAUGUAUUGGUUGUUAUUGAAAAGUGAUGGAAAUAGGGUUAUGGACUAUUUUGCAUGGUUUGGUUGUAUUGAAUUAUGGAAGGUGGAUAUGGUAAUUGAGUUAUGGAAGGUGGAUAUGGUGAUAUACUAUUGAAUUGAUGAUUAUUUAUGUCUAUGACUCAAUUUGGUUUAAUGGAUUGGUUGGAAGGAUAAAUGAAUCCAAACUUGAUAUUGGAGGAUGUUGUAUGAAUAUGCAUGGCAUGUGAAUGUAAUUGGAGUAUAAGAGGGUUAAAGUGACACCCUUUAUGGUGUAAUUAAGGCUUACUACUUAACCACUAGUUUGGUGAAUUCAAAUAAUUGAAUUGUGACGUUUGGUCGCUAAUACUAGAUUGCUAUAUAUGUUCAUUGUAGAUAAGUAAUCCGAAAAGACGAGAAGUCCAUUUGGGACUAGUAUUGAAGGUUGACAGUCAGGUAUGUAAAGCAUAC
This 670-nucleotide long non-coding RNA is filed under the name Capsicum annuum. RNAcentral describes it as "long non-coding RNA (CANN_LNC005154)". The record is from RNAcentral. Lineage: Eukaryota; Viridiplantae; Streptophyta; Magnoliopsida; Solanales; Solanaceae.